Molecule: RNA transcript, 5876 nt
Organism: Triplophysa rosa
Lineage: Eukaryota; Metazoa; Chordata; Actinopteri; Cypriniformes; Nemacheilidae
Gene: glipr2l
Gene name: GLI pathogenesis-related 2, like
Exons: 3
Source: RefSeq, a predicted model, not a curated record
GGGAAUGGGAGUGGUGUGACUGCCCUUUGGCAAGUCUGCUCUGUUUGAAGACUUGUUCAAACAACAGUCUAUAACGUCUGACGUACAACCGGUUUGUUGAAGAUUAUUUUAGGUUUUGAUAUCGUACUAACUGUAAAGGGAUUUUUAUCGACGUUUAGAUUGCUACAUUUAAUCACGGUUUUGUUUAGUUGUUGAUGAAACCGUACACGUUUACGCAAUAUUGACCCACAUUUUUCGCGGGUUUCUGUCUAAACUGGAGAUAGCAGUGAGUAAAGUGUCAAAUCCAGAAGAAAUAACGUCCCCUUGGAGGCAGAAAGAUGAAGCGCAUAAAUGACCGAGGAUUUGAGGGGACAUACUUUGAUGGACAGCAUCUGACCUUAUCUGACCUAAAAAAGAAAAUAGAAGAGAAAAUAGAACACAGGUACUUGUUUAACAGCAACAUUGCUGCUUAUCCCAAAUCUGUGGAAUUCGAUGUAAAGAAGGUGUCUCAUGUCACUGGGAGAUGUGGUCUUGAGGGUAUUUUUACGGAUUUGGGAUUUAGACAGCCAUCAAACACAUCCCACUUCCUCUGGUGGGAAUUGUCAAUCACAACUGAUGACAUCUGCUCUGCUGAACAACGGUUUCUGACGUCAUUAUCUCCUUGUACCCACAUUUGCGACCAGUUACCCUUUCUUGAGUACUUCACCUCAAAGGCCUUCCAGAAAGAGUCUCCCUAUGGAAAUUUCCGCUUCACAUUCUCAAUAAGAGAGCUCCUGUAUCACUAUGGGGAUCAGUUCUGUCAUGACCAAAGUCCAGUUCUACGAGUUUAUGAGACUGUGUUGUACAAGCAAGAGAUUCUCUAUACCAUCGUAGUGCAUCCUCGUAACAUUCAUUGUUAUGACGAUUAUCCUCGACUUCCUAAAAAUGGUGAUGGGGUGUGUGGGUAUGCUAAAGGGUCCAUAUGGUGGCGCUGUCAGUCCCCUUCUGAAACCUACAGGCAUAGGUUUAAUGUAAACUGGAACAACCAGUAUUAUGUUUGGGAUCAUGUGUGUUUAGCCCUUCACAUGGAGCCUGGUUGGGUGUUGCAUGUGGAUCAGGACAGGCUAUUUAAAAGACUGAAUGUGUGUGAAGUGUCUCAGCGCCAUCUUUUAAAACCCCCGGAGACUCCACUGAGUUUAAAUGAGGCUGACAAUAUUUUUACCAAUCUUAAAGCCGGGGUGGGCUAUCCUGGGGUUAGGGAUUAGGCAGACUGUGGAGUAUGUAGAUUAGCAGAUAUUACAUUCAGAUAAAAAGAUGUUGUCACCAAUGAAUGUACACUAUAUUGACAACCGCUUCUUUUGAUAAAGAGAGCUCAGGUGCAUAUAGUUUAUAAUAAAAAAACAAACAAACCAAAAAAAUACAUUUAAAAGUACUGUUAUUAAUUUGUUAAAUAUAAAGAUUGUUAAAUAUAUAGAUUGUGGUAUCUGUUAUUUACUUAAUAGUGAUUAAUCGGGCGAUGAACUGAUUAGACUUUAGGUGUUCUCAACAUAUUUGUCCCCAGUGCACCCUGUCACAGAUCCCGUUAAAAAAGGAUAAUCAUAAGUAUCAAGUCAAGUGUAUCAAUAAAUGUAUAAAACUGGUUGAAUGAAAAAUCAGCCUUCAUAAUGAAAAACAUAUACCUUGAUGAUUAGCCGUUUAAUUAAGUUAAUUUAUUUUAGAUAAGUUUAAAAGCCUUGUAGCUAGGGCUGUGCCGAUAAACGAUAUCAUAUCGCGAUAGAAUGUAUUUCAAAAACGAUGAUAAGCUAUUGGCAUUUUGACUCGAUAUGGAUUUAUCUUACAGUCUAACAGAACGCAGAAAUAAACGCAACAACAGUCAGUCAGCGUGCAGCUUUUAUCAUGCGCGUCAAAGUACAAAGUCCAUUUCAUACUGCACUUGGCAAAGAAAACUCGACAUGAGGAGGAAAACAUGACUGGAAGCGGAAACAAAGGUGAACUAACCUCGAGUUGUCAUCACGCAGUUUAUCAAGUGUCUUAUUUUUUUUUCGCAAUCGCCGGUUAAACAAAACAAACUUGUGGUGCAAUUGCAAGCGAGUUACUUCGAAACUCAAGCACAAACGUUUUUAUAUCCAUCGUUAACAUACCUGCUAACAUGAGCUGGUGCAUACGAAACAAACCAGCGCUGCCCUGUACAGAUUAGAGAUGUAAUGAAGUGAGUUUGUGUGCACAUUAAAAUAUUGAACCUUGUAUGUAAGAUGCUUGCAUGAUUAAAGAAAUGUACUACAGUUUAUGUGAGAUGUCUUUUUGAAUGACUAAGGUUCACUGAAUGCAUUGAAUAAAUCCCUCUACUCGAGCAAGACAUUAUUGCAGUGUUAUGUGUGUGCGCAGGUGAUGAGCCAAUAGCGUUCGAAUGUACACAGUAACGGAGCCCUUUCAUUGGUUGAAUGUACUGAAUGAACACUCCUUUACUUAACGAGUCAAAAUGAGACUGAAUGAACUGGUACAUGUUGUUUAUGGCCUAAUAUCCUCUGUGUUCCAACAGUGCAUUCAUUUAAUUAAAUUUUAACUGGUUAAAGGUUAACUUUUGUUAAUAAACUGUAUUUAAAAUAGAUUCUUUUAAUACAGUUUUUUAAUUAAAUAUAUAUCAAAAUAAAUAUCGUUAUCGAUCAAUAUAGAAAAAAACUAUCGAGUUUACUUUUUUGCCAUAAAGCCCAGCCCUACUUGUAGCUCUCUUAAGUUUAUUAAGGCCACUCCCCAGCUGGUUAUUCUGUUUUAACACUUUUUUUUUCGUGUGUCUUGUUUUUUAAAUGUAAAAACCUUUCCGUUAUGUUGGAGUUAAAACUUGUACUUUUUUAACUGUCCACUAGAGGUCUGUGUUGGAUCGCUAGUAUUGUUGGCUUGUUUUAUCUGCAAUGAUACAAAACCCACAGUAGCUGGUCCCAUACACACACAUAUUACAUUCACUACAUUUAGUCAUUUUUUGUUCCUUGAGUCUGUUUUAUUGUGUUUAAUUAUGCUUUAUUGACAAUAUAAUGUCACAUAUGGCUUGUUGCAAAAAAUAUCCUGCUUUAGUUUUUUAAUCUAUUGUUCUUGCUUGGCUUUGAUCAAUGAUGUAACAUACUUGAUGUCAUAUAGGCCUUAUUCUAUUACAAAGCCAACAAAUAUUGUGACUAUAAGUGUUUCUCUGUUCCAAGCAGUUAACUUAAUGUAAUCAUUCUUGAUACAUCACCCACAUAUUCCAUUUUUCUUACAUAAUUCUUAAAAAUGUCUGUGUUGUUCAUUCCUUCAACUCUGGUCUUACCUAUAAACAUGGCUUUGUAGAGUAUACUUAUUGUUAGCUCAUUGACAAAAUUCUCUGCUAAAGGAAUAAAUGUAAAUGUAAUGAAUAUGUACCCCCUACCCCUUCUCUCCUUCCACUGUUUCCUUCUCAUCUGAAACAAAAUUAAACUAAUAAUAAUUUACCUAAGUUGAUAAACUAUAACCAUGUGCCUCUAAAUAAACUUUAAAAUUCCAUUGGCUUAUCUAUUCUCAGAUAUAAUUAGCUAAAAACCCCUUUAAAACAAACUGUUUUCUUACAAGUGCUUGUGCUUUUGCAAUGUACAUGCUCUAUGUUUGACAGUUUAAAGGGGUCAUAUGACACGAUUAAAACGAAUAUUAUCGUUUGUUUUAGAUAUAAUGCAAUGUGUAUACACGAUUUAAGGUUCAAAAACGCUGUAUUUUCCACAUACCGUGCAUGUUUGUAUCUCCUCUUUGCCCCCAAAGCUCAUCGCUCUGAAAAGCGAGGUGUGCUAUGAUUGGCCAGUUAACCAGUGCGUAGUGAUUGGUCGAAUACUGCAAGCGUGUGAUGGAAAUGUAACGCCUCUUACCAUAUUUGGAACAUCAGGUUCCUCUUCAAUUGUACUGACAGGUACGCCCACCUUACUUGCGUAUACAUUUGGGCGGUCUUAGACAAAUCAUACCACGAACUGACGUGGAUUUGUGGGGGUGUGGUUACACGAGGCGUUUCAGGCAGGUCUGGGUGAGCAUUCGCUUUUAGAUAGAAUGCAUCUUUUGUUCCCACACUUUCAUUUUUGCAAUUUUACGUGUCUAAUACAUGCAUGGGCAACUUAUAACACACCAAAGACAAGUAAAAACAUGUGUUCGCGACAUAUGACCCCUUUAAAGUCACCAUGAAACGGAAGUUGCGAUUGACUUUUCCAUAUCAUGACGUGUAUCCGAGUGAAAAGGCUUCUGAAAUUUAAAAAAAAAAAAUCCUGGCCAUUGGACAGUCAGUAUAGUCCUACAUCUUUUUUUGUUGCUGACGUCAUGUGGUGAAGAGCUGUUGUUGAGAGGGGUAGAGGAGCUUAACGUUUUAGAUUAAAGAUUACAAGUGCAAAUGAAUUAAAAAAAUAAUAAUGGUGUGCACGGAUAAAUCAUUUAUAAUAAUCACUGCAACACUGUAAAACACUUAGAAUUUUCCUGUUUGACUGCAUGGUGACUUGAAGCUCAGUGUUUCCAGCUGCAUGCCAUAAUGCCAACACCCUAUAAGGUCACAUGGCUAAUUUAGAUGAUGUCAUCGCCACAUGUCCUGAGUGGAGAAUCCCAUCUUACACAGUGUAAAGAGAAAGAAAGUGAGUGUGGUAGGAGAAAGAGAACAGGAAAAAGAUACAUUUUUAUAUUAGGGAAUGUUGGAAAAGGAAGCUCAUUUGUAUGAUUUUUAGGAAUAUGUUGAGGUUUCUGGAUCAUAGAAGAUGAAACAUUAGACUAGUUUAACUGGGGAACAAAAGCGGAAGAAACACAGAGAAAGAGAAGGUUUGAGGUGAAAAGCUGUAACAACUGUUAGAAACUGUCACAGUGAGGGAACUCUACCUACAAGCAGCAGCCUAGCUCAGAGGAGUCUUCUGUUUACAAUGGGAAAGUCAGGUAAGUGCACACUGCUAAAUGAUUGUCUCUUAACAUCUGUGAUCUUGUCAAAUAGAUAUAAUAUCCACCGAUUUCAUCUGUUGUUGCUAAAUGAUGUUUUAUCAGCACAGGUUGCCAGCUUUACCACACUGAGUGCUUCUUUGUUUGUUUGUGUGUGUGUGUGUGUGUGUGUGUGUGUGUGUGUGUGUGUACGCUUGUCAGUGGCUUUGUGUACACGGGAUUGUUAGUUACUCAAUUCUUGCUUUGUUUGAAAGAAUAGCAUCAUGCAGUUGGAUGAAUAUCCCUGCAAUAGUCACAAGCACAAUUGUCUGGCAACAUUUGUUUAGUUUAAUAGCUUUCGUAAAGGGAGCUAACAUUGUCUGCAAUCAGGACAUUACAUCUAAAUGUUUUGUCACUGUGUGGCUUUAUUUUAAAACAGUCAAAAGUGUUUUAAAUGGAAUAUUUCAUAUGAAAGGACUUCAAUUGUGUAAAGGAAUGGUUAUACCAAUUUGUAGCUCAUUAAAAAAAUUGAUCUUAUUCUUAAUGCCUUUGUACCAAAGGUCAGAUUUCUAUUCUUCCAAAGCGAGAUACUCUUUCAAACAUUGUUAAAUUUUGCCGAAAAAGAAAGAUCACCAACAAAAUGGUCCAUUCCAGCUCAUGUGCAUGCUGUAAGCCAAUGCAAAUUCGUGAACAAACAAUAUAAUCAUAAUAUUAAACAUUAAUGGUAAUAAAUAUGAUAAAAAACAUGUGUAUUUGUUCCUGUACUAAACUUCUGGCUUAGCAUAGUCUACACUUCUCAGUUCUGUUUAUAGUAAUUAAAGAUGUUUGGCUUAAAUCUGUUGUGUAAGAUUCUAGCAAAAACAGAAGUUGCACUUAAUUUCAAUCUCUUUCUAUUGAUUUCCUCUUCACUUUAUAGCCUCCAAGCUUUUUUGUGAGGAUGUAUUAAAAACUCAUAAUGAGUACAGAAGAAAGCAACAGGCACCAUCAUUAAAACUCAGCAAUAAACUGAGCCGUGAGGCAGCAAGAUACGCGGAGAGCCU